AUUGAACGCUGGCGGCAUGCCUUACACAUGCAAGUCGAACGGCAGCACGGAGCUUGCUCUGGUGGCGAGUGGCGAACGGGUGAGUAAUAUAUCGGAACGUACCCAAGAGUGGGGGAUAACGUAGCGAAAGUUACGCUAAUACCGCAUACGAUCUAAGGAUGAAAGCAGGGGACCGCAAGGCCUUGUGCUCCUGGAGCGGCCGAUAUCUGAUUAGCUAGUUGGUGAGGUAAAGGCUCACCAAGGCAUCGAUCAGUAGCUGGUCUGAGAGGACGACCAGCCACACUGGAACUGAGACACGGUCCAGACUCCUACGGGAGGCAGCAGUGGGGAAUGUUGGACAAUGGGGGCAACCCUGAUCCAGCAAUGCCGCGUGAGUGAAGAAGGCCUUCGGGUUGUAAAGCUCUUUUGUCAGGGAAGAAACGGUCGUGGCUAAUAUCCAUGGCUAAUGACGGUACCUGAAGAAUAAGCACCGGCUAACUACGUGCCAGCAGCCGCGGUAA
RNAcentral lists this ribosomal RNA (500 nucleotides) under uncultured bacterium. Its description in RNAcentral is "partial 16S ribosomal RNA". It matches the Rfam family "Bacterial small subunit ribosomal RNA", at positions 30 to 523 of the family's 1533-position model. The record is from RNAcentral.